UGGCCCAGGAGCUCCAUAUGCCCACAGGGCAUCUGAAAAAGAAAAAAAGGAGGAAAAAAAAAAAGGCAGGUAAAAGCCAGAUCAGGCAGGGCUUUGCAGGCCUUGGGAAGGAGUUUCUCUUGCAAAUGGCUUCUCCCAGUGGCUUUUAACCAAGAUAGCAGUACGAUUUGAUUUAAAACAUUUGAUUUUUAAAAUAUCCCUUUGGCUGCUGUGUGAACUGACUACAGUGACAUGAGGGUGGGGACAAGGAAACUGGAUCUAAGCCCCGGCAAAGGGCUUGGACCGGAGCGGCAGCAGCAGAGAAGGUAGUACGCAGCCAGGUUAGGAUAUACUCUGAGGAUCAAGCCUACAGAAUGUGCUGAUGGAUCUGUGAGCCCUGAGUUUGCUGUGGGGGAAAAGGAUGACUAGAGGUUGUAUCCCAAGAUUUUGCUCUGGGCCACUGCCUGCAGCUUCCUUCUCGGUGGUCCAUCUCGGGGCACACAGGCCUCCUGCCUCAGCCGCCUCCCAUGGAAGCCCAGUCCUGACCAUGGCAGAGACAAUGCCGUGUGUCCACCAAACCAAUCCACUGUCCACACAGACACACAGGAUGGCCGUGUUCCCCAGGCCCCCAGCAUUUAGACAAAGCUAGACGUCCUCUCCAUCCAUCGUCUCCCUCCCUUCAUCUCCAUCCUCUCAUCUCCAUCCAUCCAAUGCCCUGUGACUGGAGGUGACAUACACCACGUCCUGGCCUGGCCUCUAACACCUCCCAAUAAUCUUGCACAUUCUCACCCUUUCUCCUCCUUCAUCUUCUGAAAAAGACUCUCAGGAUCUAGAAAGUGGCAGAACCACCCGGCAAAAGGUUCUGGGCUCCCCAACUACCUGUGUGGUGUGGAGUCCCCCUCCCUUUCCCAUCACCGUGAAGCAAGAGAAACACACCUUCAUUUUGUUAAGCCUUUGAGACGCAGAGGGGUUUUUUGUAACUGAGUUUGCCUUUCAUGAUUAAUGCAUACGACCCUCCUCUAUUUUCUGUGCCCACCCUCUUCCACAAUUCUCACUCCAUUCCCAUGGAUCUGAAACCAUCAGUGCACUGAGAGCUCCCAGAUUUAUAUGUUCAGCCCACACGUCUCUUCCAAGCCAUAAAUCUAAACGUUCUCCUCAAGCUCGCCUUUUCCCUGCCCAGUGAUCCCAGUACAUCACCAAGUCUGAGAGUCCUGUUUCCACAAUACACCCCCAGCCCUCCACUGCCCCCUCUGCUGCCACACAAAGCCACAGCCCAGUGCUUGGGACGAGGAGGACAUGUGGCUUCAGAGAGACUGGGAUAUUCUGACCCUGGCCCUGUUAUAAGAAAAAGCAACUCCCUGCUUGUCGGCGGAAGAGUGAUCAAGACGACCCACCCCCAAGGUAUUUCCGGUGCCCCUAGUCACUGCUAGGGUUCCCAGAGCAGCUCCUCCCAGAAUCAGCCUCCAGUCCAAUGCAUGCCAUUCCUUUCUGCACUCCUCCUCGCUCGUACAGCUCAGACCUCUGUCUUCUCUCCUUCUCUCCCGAGCUGCAGGCUAAGUUCCCAACCGCGCCCCACUUUUAGCAUCCUCUCCUCACCUGGCCUGACCCUACCUGCAAACCCUCCGAUCAUUCUCACCAGCCUCGCUUCCCAAGCCAACCGUUCGGACGCAGCUUCAGCGGAGCCCACGUCGCCUCCUUGUGGUCCAAAGACAAAAGUGCAGGCGGGCUGCGCUCACCUGGGCGGGGUCUCCUCCCGCUGGAGUGUCCGGAAAUCCAUGGGUUCCCGUGAAUCUAACGAAGCCCAGGUGGCUGGAUUAAUAUCCCCGAUGGCAAGAGAGCCCCAGGAAGUGGACAUACUCUCCUCGUGGGCGGUAGUAACUGCUCUCGGAUCAUUCUUAUACCAAGAACAGGCAGAGAGGGAGGAACCCCAGGCGGCCAGUCCAAACCGAGGAAAUCCAACUGAACUUUUUCCCUGAAGCCCCCUCGGCAGAUGCUCCCCCAUGGCCCUGGCGACCCCAGAAGGGGCAGAAGAGGAGAAGACUACCCUCCCCCCACCCAGACGGCUCCUGUCUUGCUGCACCUCCAUCAGGUAUUCACAGCCAAGUCUCCCUGCUUCCCAACCAUCCUCGAUGCUCUAACAGCACAGCAGCCAUUCUGAUGGGAUGAGACAGUCUUCACUGCUUCAUGGCAGCACUCUACUCGGUCAGUUUUGAAACAGUUACGUGUUUCCUGCCAUUUUAAAAGCAUAAGCUUUCAUUUGAACUGGGCUCAUUUCUGAUGAGAGGCAGGCAGCCCUGGCCAGCGGAAAGUGCCCCGACCUGUAGUGCUACACGUCAGGGUUCUGACCCACGCUGUCACUGAGAGACCCUGAGCCUCAAAGAACUUUUCUCCAGGCCUCAGUUUCCUCAUCUUAGGGGUGGGGGGUCGGGGGGCGAGGCUAGCAUGAGAAUCUACUGUGCUCCAACCUCUUAGCUGAAACAGGCCUGGAUCCAUUUAAGCCGGGUCGCGCUUCCGCUCCUUCGUGCUAUGUUGCAUUUCUGUUUUGUUUCUUUCAUUCAUUUGGCUGCCCCGGGAGGGGGGCGCAGGCCCCGCCCACCGCCUUCGAGCCUGGAGAGCCACCGAGAAGGGGGCCCUCCGGGGUGCUAGAGAGGGCGCCUUGCCCGGCUGACGCGGGCGCACUUCCGGCCUUUGUGUGCCACCCAAGACGGCGGCUCCAGGGGGGCAGCCUGCGCUCCCCACUCCCGGUGGUGCGGCGCCGGGGGUGCGUGGGUUCCCCGGUUAUGCAGCGUCAUUCUCAACCUGUGCGGCUCUAGGAGGCCCCGCGCCCGCUGCGAACGCCCUGUGUCCCUUCCAACCCCUGCAUUUUUGGUCUUGCCCUCCUCUUGCUCUCUUCUCGAUGGGGGACUUAGCAGGACUUGAGGUUGGGGAGCGGGAUUGUCCCAGGUUUGACCCCUCAUUCGUUCAGGCCUCCUAGGAGUCAGCCUGGCUGCAAAGUUCAGGCGGAUCCCGCUCCCUCCCACUUCCUUGCUGCCGCCCCCAGACUUGACUUUUGAAACGACCCUCUGGGAAGCCCAGGUCGUUGAACCAAAAAAACGCUAACUGGAUCCCCCGGCGUCCCGUGUGCUUUAUUCUCCCACGUACACUUAAUCAGCUGAGUUUUAGCCCGGGCAUAGGGGGAAUUAGAUCAGACUAGAUUCUUGCGUUUUCCCAGACCUGAAUGCUCUAGCAAGAGAACGGAUACGUGUGUGAUGCCGAUAUAAUGUGAGAGAGACGGUGGGAGGUAUACGCGAGACAGAGGAUGCAAAUAGAGAAGGAAGGAUCCGGUUAAAAAGCUGCUGGGGCAGAGAUCAAGUGGAUAAGACUUUGCAAGAUGGGUGGUAGUGGAAGGAGGGUGAGAACUGGAUCCGUGGAAAUGCCCUACCAGCCCAGGACAUUCCCCAUAGAGCUGGUGCAAAAGCACAAAGGUGAAAGGGAUGGGAGGGCUGGGGAGAGAGUGGUAAAUAUUUCAACACCAUUCUGAUAAUGUUUAUUUUGUGCUGCGCACUGGAGAUGAAAGAAUGUGUGGCCACAGAUCCCUGUUCAAGCGGUUGUUAGAUCCCUUUUGCUAAAAAUAGUGAAAGUGGUUCAAAGGUACAAACUCAUAGUUAGACAAAUUCUGGGAAUGUAGCUAUAGUGAAAAAUAAAAAUCAUUAUGUAAAAAGUUAAAAAAUAAUAAUAAUAAAUUCUGGGGAUGCAAUGUACAGCAUGGUGACUAGUUAAUACUAGAGUAUUGUAUACAAACGCAUUGUGUAUUUGAAAGUUGCUAAGACAGUGGAUCUUAAAAGUUGGCAUCGCAAGAAAAAAAUUAACUGUGUGAGCUGAUGGAUGUUAACUAAACUCAUUGCGAUCCGUUUCACAAUAUUUCCAUAUAUCAAAUCAUUAUGUUGUAUAUCCAAAGCUAAUACAAUAUUAUAUGUCAAUUCUAUUUCAAUAAAACU
Molecule: non-coding RNA, 3956 nt
Organism: Sus scrofa (pig)
Lineage: Eukaryota; Metazoa; Chordata; Mammalia; Artiodactyla; Suidae
Source: RefSeq, a predicted model, not a curated record